Molecule: long non-coding RNA, 174 nt
Organism: Pelobates fuscus (common spadefoot toad)
Lineage: Eukaryota; Metazoa; Chordata; Amphibia; Anura; Pelobatidae
Exons: 3
Source: RefSeq, a predicted model, not a curated record
GUCAGUUUUAGUCUCAGCCUCGAAGGCGGUAGGGGUAUCCCAGGGUAAUGGGGCAGGGAAGUUAGAUUUGGUCUUACCUGAGUCUCCCGCACUGGCGAAGGGUCUCAGAUCCUGCCUGCUUGCGACCGGGAUGCGCCUCAGUGUUGUAGGAGGGGGCAUAUGCUGAAGUCAUGG